This is a long non-coding RNA of Clupea harengus (Atlantic herring), 1014 nucleotides long. RefSeq lists it as uncharacterized. The transcript has 2 exons. The record is from RefSeq and is a predicted model, not a curated record. NCBI's taxonomy places the organism in Eukaryota, Metazoa, Chordata, Actinopteri, Clupeiformes, Clupeidae.
UUCACAUCCAAGAUCAUUCUAAAUCCGUGGUUGCAUCCAAAUCACGAUGUUGACGAAAUGCCGAUGUUGUUGAAUUUCCUAAAGUGCAUUAUUCUAUGCAUGCCCCCUGGUGACUGCACAGUAACGAGACUUUCAUAAACCGGUAUCCCGGGACGAUGGAGAAACGAAAAUGUCACCACUGGGGAACUCCGCGGUCGACGCCGAGGCUUUAGCAUGCUUUAAUAGUAAAGAAUCGCGGCGAUCUGAAGCCGCGUUUAAUGUUAUCUGCGUGACAUCAUUUGCCAUAUGGAUGCGUGACACUUUAAACACACCAUUCCAAGAGGUAUACGAUUUUUUAACAAGAGCAUUUAAGUAAAUAAUAGUGGAUAAUAUUCGAUAAAAUGUUCUUUUCUUUUAAAGUUAAUUAAAAAAAUAUUUGGAAUUUGCGGCAUAUGUACUUAGACUAAUGGAUAUAUAAGCAUAUGGACAUGCGCAUCGUAUUUAGUGUAUAUUUAAUCAAUUGUAAUGACUGUGUGACAUUUUUUAAUGAAAUAUUACAUUUUUAUCUGAUAUUCAAUUUUUGCACAGACUAACAUAAUUAAGCCCAUCAAUUGUUUAUAUGCACCUCAUUGUUACAUUCUAUUCAAUUGAUGGCCAAGUACCGUUAGAUUGGUCUAUUUAUUCUUUCCCAAGUGUUAGCCUACGAGCCGAGCCCAACCCAAAUGCGUUCUAGGGUUUAAAAGCUUGGGUGGACAAAAGUGCCUAAUCUUCCAGUAGGUGGCAGACUCAAUCCUUUCAAAUGUAUACGUCACAGGCAGCUUUCAGUUCAUGAACUUCGUGUAGGCAUACUGUAGUGUAGAGUGAGGGCGCUAUUCCAGUGAGGAAAUUCAGUGAGUCUAAAUGACUAGUUGCAUAAGAAAAUACAAAUCUUCAUGUUUAGAUAUCCCACCACUGUCAAAGCACAAAUGUCUCAGAAAUAAAAACAAUUAAACGUGAUUAUUCUAAAAGAAUAAAGACUUUUAUUAAGCAUUGUAA